AACUUUAUAGAGGAGGGAACGACGACAUAAACGAAAGAGCGAAACUUGCGCAACUGUCGCGCCGCUUUGGGUUGCCCGAAGGCUGGAAAAUAUCGAUAGCUACUUCGAUCGAGACUCUGGAGUGUUCGGACGUUUUUACUGGGAAUACCGAUAACCUAUCCUCGUCGACGCUGAGCGUAUUUGAACUGAUAGGAAGAAGUGUCGCGUUCAUACACUAGAUUGAUCGUAUGUGAUUGUUCUCGUGGAUGAGUUUGUACUGUUUGAAUUAACACUGCUAGUGGAGCAAACCGUAUGCUCAGCUUCAUUUCAAAGGUAAUGGAACCGCACACUGCGCUUAUCAUGCUGCAGAGAAGAAGCUAUUCAACCGUCCUCUGGCAAUUUCUUUUAUCUCCGUUUGUAGGAGAGUUAUAGCCCGUCCCAGUUUCGAGACACACACCGUAUACAAAAACAUUUAAUCCCAAAAGGAUGCCGUAGAAACAAAGGGUUUUGAAAUCCUUAAAUAAUGGGUUUCGCUUUGGGACAAAGGAAAAAUGGAACUCCCUGAUCCACUUUAAUGACACUGGUCGAGAUUUUUAUGCGGAACUAAACUGAAUCAAUAAAAACGAACUCUGACUUUUGAAGUUUCUCUUUGAUAAGAUACUGGGUUAAACACCUUGGAAGAGGAUUUUCAAAUUUCAAGACCCUAAUCCAUUUCCUCGAACUACGUAAGCAGACAACCACCGAUACAGUUAAUAAGUCUCCGUCGUUAAUUACUGUACCUGAAAAUCCUAUAAACAGGCUCCUAUUAUAUAAAGUAUUAAUUCAGAAAAGAAAUUCACCCCGUUCCACGCAUUUUAUCCAAGUUACAACCUCCUACAUCACGAUGGAAAGAAUCGACAGACGUUUUUUUUCCUUUUUGCUCGAAUACGACAGAAGGCGGAGA
Hylaeus volcanicus is the source of this 922-nucleotide long non-coding RNA. RefSeq lists it as uncharacterized. The transcript has 4 exons. The record is from RefSeq and is a predicted model, not a curated record. NCBI's taxonomy places the organism in Eukaryota, Metazoa, Arthropoda, Insecta, Hymenoptera, Colletidae.